Molecule: long non-coding RNA, 978 nt
Organism: Neodiprion fabricii
Lineage: Eukaryota; Metazoa; Arthropoda; Insecta; Hymenoptera; Diprionidae
Exons: 4
Source: RefSeq, a predicted model, not a curated record
CCGCGGUGCUACCACGUAUAUAUUAUCCCAGACUGCCGGGGCCAGUCGGGCCCAGACUCCGCAGGAACACCGCGGUCAGUCGGCGAUGACGGCGCGACGAUUUGGGAAUGAAGAAAGCUUUCCAAAUUCCGGCCGCUGCAUCGACGGUGUCGAAGUGUGGUAAGUCGCAACUUCCGUCGCUCUGAGUAUUUCGAGUCAAGGCGGGGAUCGAUUUGGCAAGAUGAUCCAGUUCCAGUCCAUGACCGCAGUUUUAUAACUCUCGUCUUCAGAAAAUAUUAUACGAGGGAGAUCGCUUCGUUUCAUUCGCAAACAAUGGGACAGUUGCACGAGGAAUUUCCCAGUCGCGUUGAUUGCACACCAAGAGCCCAACAGAAUUCGUAAGCCUGAGGGACAAAGUAAAAACUUGGCGUGAAUUGUUCUGGUUAACCAGUAAAGUUCAAUUAUUCAACGCAUAUCACGAAGACACUUGAUCGAAGUGCAUCAUUUUCUUGCGAUAGUCACGAUAAUUUUGUAUAUUGAUUUAUAUCCGAUAGUGUUGAUAAUAUUGUUUCAUGUGUUAUAUUUCGGUUUACACUCAAAUGAUCGAAUUGACGAUGUCUCUGGAUUAUAAUGACGACACAAUUUUACUCCGUGUAUAUUUUUAUUGCAGUGCCUUCCAACCUGGAACUUGGGUACAGACGUGUACUACCAACGUAACAACUAGAUGUUACUAACGUCACACACAUAUAAAGGAUCUGAUAUCAGUUUGUACCGGAGUUGAUUUAAAUCGCGUUUUUCAGUAAAUAACAUUUUCCACUAAAUUUUAUUCAAACGUCCAUUAUUUGUGUCGUCCAAACAAGUCCAAAGUUUUUUUGCCACAUGAGCAACUUCAGACUGAUCAAUUGUUACGAAAGGUCAAGUUUACUUUCAAAUCAUAAUUUAUUGUUCUUCUAUUGUUGUACUAUAAAUUAUUGGUCCAAAACUUCUUAUACAAGACGA